Molecule: small RNA, 28 nt
Filed under: Bombyx mori (domestic silkworm)
Lineage: Eukaryota; Metazoa; Arthropoda; Insecta; Lepidoptera; Bombycidae
Description: ovarian small RNA-19610
Source: RNAcentral
UAAUAUCGUUUGCGAUGAACCACUGUGU